Molecule: long non-coding RNA, 384 nt
Organism: Gorilla gorilla gorilla (western lowland gorilla)
Lineage: Eukaryota; Metazoa; Chordata; Mammalia; Primates; Hominidae
Exons: 4
Source: RefSeq, a predicted model, not a curated record
CACUUCAGAUGUGCCUGCUUCCCCUUCUGCCGUGAUUGUACAUUUCCUGAGGCCUCCGCAAGCAUGUGGAAUGACACCCCUGCUAGAAUCUAUGAAUUCAGAAAGAAAAGGACUGUCCUCUGUGCUUCAGGAAUAUUCAUACAAGGAAGUCACGAUUCUCUACCUCUGCUGUAUAAUAACACCUGUCAGUGUCUAAGUCAAUGCUGGAGGAAUAGCAUUUAAAAAUUGAAGAUUUCCACAAUUGCUUCAAAUUACCUUAAAGAAUAUUUUGUAUGAAUGAUGGAUAACAGAACCAGAGACUGGGAACAUGGAGGCCAAGGGGGAACUCCUCGGGAGCUGCAACUGACACACAAAGGAAAUUUUAAGCAAGGCAGUGGAAAUGAG